CUCUUAUCAAGAGCGGCGGAGGGACAGGCCCUGUGAAGCCCGGCAACAGCCAGCACCAUGCUGGAAAUGUGCUAAUUCCUGCAGUAGUAUUACUACUGAAAGAUGAGAU
The sequence is a regulatory RNA element, 109 nucleotides long. It matches the Rfam family "SAM riboswitch aptamer (S box leader)". Rfam says of the family: The SAM riboswitch is found upstream of a number of genes which code for proteins involved in methionine or cysteine biosynthesis in Gram-positive bacteria. The SAM riboswitch acts at the level of transcription termination control. The record is from Rfam.